UAAGGAAUAUUGGUCAAUGGACGCAAGUCUGAACCAGCCAUGCCGCGUGAAGGAUUAAGGUCCUCUGGAUUGUAAACUUCUUUUAUUUGGGACGAAAAAGGGUCUUUCUAGACCAACUGACGGUACCAGAUGAAUAAGCACCGGCUAACUCCGUGCCAGCAGCCGCGGUAAUACGGAGGGUGCAAGCGUUAAUCGGAAUUACUGGGCGUAAAGCGUGCGCAGGCGGUUUCUUAAGUCAGAUGUGAAAGCCCCGGGCUUAACCUGGGAACUGCGUUUGAAACUGGGAGACUUGAGUGUGGCAGAGGGGGGUGGAAUUCCACGUGUAGCAGUGAAAUGCGUAGAUAUGCGGAGGAACACCGAUGGCGAAGGCAGCCCCCUGGGAUGAUACUGACGCUCAUGCACGAAAGCGUGGGGAGCAAACAGG
Molecule: ribosomal RNA, 424 nt
Filed under: uncultured bacterium
Lineage: Bacteria
Description: bacterial SSU rRNA
Rfam family: Bacterial small subunit ribosomal RNA
Source: RNAcentral